GAUGAACGCUGGCGGCAUGCCUUACACAUGCAAGUCGAACGGCAGCGGGGGAGAAGCUUGCUUUUCCUGCCGGCGAGUGGCGAACGGGUGAGUAAUACAUCGGAACGUACCCUGUAGUGGGGGAUAACUAGUCGAAAGAUUAGCUAAUACCGCAUACGACCUGAGGGUGAAAGUGGGGGACCGCAAGGCCUCAUGCUAUAGGAGCGGCCGAUGUCUGAUUAGCUAGUUGGUGGGGUAAAGGCCUACCAAGGCGACGAUCAGUAGCUGGUCUGAGAAGACGAUCGGCCACACGUGGACUGAGACACGGCCCAGACUCCAACGGGAGGCAGCAGUGGGGAAUUUUGGACAAUGGGCGAAAGCCUGAUCCAGCAAUGCCGCGUGUGUGAAGAAGGCCUUCGGGUUGUAAAGCACUUUUGUCCGGAAAGAAAUGGCUCUGGUUAAUACCUGGGGUCGAUGACGGUACCGGAGGAAUAAGGACCGGCUAACUACGUGCCAGCCGCCGCAGUAA
RNAcentral lists this ribosomal RNA (508 nucleotides) under uncultured bacterium. RNAcentral's name for it is "partial 16S ribosomal RNA". It matches the Rfam family "Bacterial small subunit ribosomal RNA", at positions 28 to 523 of the family's 1533-position model. The record is from RNAcentral.